UGGGGAAUUUUGGACAAUGGGGGAAACCUUGAUCCAGCCAUCCCGCGUGUGCGAUGAAGGCCUUCGGGUUGUAAAGCACUUUUGGCAGGAAAGAAACGUCGCGGGUUAAUACCCCGCGAAACUGACGGUACCUGCAGAAUAAGCACCGGCUAACUACGUGCCAGCAGCCGCGGUAAUACGUAGGGUGCAAGCGUUAAUCGGAAUUACUGGGCGUAAAGCGUGCGCAGGCGGUUCGGAAAGAAAGAUGUGAAAUCCCAGAGCUUAACUUUGGAACUGCAUUUUUAACUACCGGGCUAGAGUGUGUCAGAGGGAGGUGGAAUUCCGCGUGUAGCAGUGAAAUGCGUAGAUAUGCGGAGGAACACCGAUGGCGAAGGCAGCCUCCUGGGAUAACACUGACGCUCAUGCACGAAAGCGUGGGGAGCAAACAGGAUUAGAUACCCUGGUAGUCCACGCCCUAAACGAUGUCAACUAGCUGUUGGGGCCUUCGGGCCUUGGUAGCGCAGCUAACGCGUGAAGUUGACCGCCUGGGGAGUACGGUCGCAAGAUUAAAAACUCAAAGGAAUUGAC
Molecule: ribosomal RNA, 567 nt
Filed under: uncultured bacterium
Lineage: Bacteria
Description: partial 16S ribosomal RNA
Rfam family: Bacterial small subunit ribosomal RNA
Source: RNAcentral